CUACGGGAGGCAGCAGUGAGAAAUAUUGCACAAUGGGGGGAACCCUGAUGCAGCAACGCCGCGUGGAGGAUGACGCAUUUCGGUGUGUAAACUCCUUUUAUAUGUCAAGAAAAUGACGGUAGCAUAUGAAUAAGCACCGGCUAACUCCGUGCCAGCAGCCGCGGUAAUACGGAGGGUGCAAGCGUUACUCGGAAUCACUGGGCGUAAAGGACGCGUAGGCGGGUUGGAAAGUCAGGUGUGAAAUCCUACAGCUUAACUGGAGAACUGCACUUGAAACUUCUAAUCUAGAGUAUGGGAGGGGGAGAUGGAAUUAGUGGUGUAGGGGUAAAAUCCGUAGAUAUCACUAGGAAUACCUAAAGCGAAGGCGAUCUCCUGGAACAUUACUGACGCUAAGGCGUGAAAGCGUGGGGAGCAAACAGGAUUAGAUACCCGGGUAGUC
Molecule: ribosomal RNA, 439 nt
Filed under: uncultured bacterium
Lineage: Bacteria
Description: partial 16S ribosomal RNA
Rfam family: Bacterial small subunit ribosomal RNA
Source: RNAcentral